This 253-nucleotide ribosomal RNA is filed under the name uncultured bacterium. RNAcentral describes it as "partial 16S ribosomal RNA". It matches the Rfam family "Bacterial small subunit ribosomal RNA", at positions 524 to 776 of the family's 1533-position model. The record is from RNAcentral.
UACGUAGGAGGCAAGCGUUGUCCGGAAUUACUGGGCGUAAAGCGCGUGUAGGUGGUGGGACAAGUCUGCUGUGAAAGCGCCUGGCUUAACCGGGCGAGGUCGGCGGAAACUGUCGCACUCGAGGACGGUAGAGGGGGGUGGAAUUCCCGGUGUAGUGGUGAAAUUCGUAGAUAUCGGGAGGAACACCGGUGGCGAAGGCGGCGACCUGGGACAAUACUGACGCUGAGGUGCGAAAGCGUGGGGAGCAAACAGG